GAUGCUGGGAGGGUUUCGACCUACCGCGGGUCGGCGCCGAUAGCGGAGGCCCCUCGCCCGGACAACAACAGGACUGGAGUCCGUUUCGAGCCUCCCCUUGUCCUAACUAAGCGCCGGCGGCGACGGCGACGGCGACGGCGACGACGGCGCUCUUGGUGGGAGUGGUGGCGACGCCAGAGGAGGCGGAGGAGGAGGCGACAGAGGCGGUCAAGCAUCCCGAAGCCCUGUAGCUCAAAGGACAAGGGAUGCCCGGAGGGUGCACCAGUGGCGUUAGGAUCUCCUCCCCGGCAGCCUUCCCUGCCUCAAUUGCCUGGACCCAGAAAAGUUCGACGCCGGAAACCGCGGCAUCGACGGCGCAGGCGGGGGAUCAUGGAACUGGAGAACUUCAUGGCCAACACUUUGUUGCUGAAGGCUCGUCAAGGAUUUACCAAAAAGACUGGUCGCAGUAAAAAGUGGAGAGAGCUCCUGAAGUUGCCCCCAGUCAGCAUGUGCAGUGACUUACGACACUCCAUCGAGCUGGGGACCGAACCCAGGGCCUUGCGCUUGCUAGGCAAGCGCUCUACCACUGAGCUAAAUCCCCAACCCCACUAAUAAACUUUUUACUGGAUGG
RNAcentral lists this long non-coding RNA (610 nucleotides) under Rattus norvegicus (Norway rat). RNAcentral describes it as "long non-coding RNA NONRATT010031". The record is from RNAcentral. Lineage: Eukaryota; Metazoa; Chordata; Mammalia; Rodentia; Muridae.